GACGUAGGGCGCGAGCGUUGUCCGGAUUUAUUGGGCGUAAAGAGCUCGUAGGCGGCUUGUCGCGUCGACUGUGAAAUCCCGCGGCUCAACUGCGGGUCUGCAGUCGAUACGGGCAGGCUAGAGUUCGGUAGGGGAGACUGGAAUUCCUGGUGUAGCGGUGAAAUGCGCAGAUAUCAGGAGGAACACCGAUGGCGAAGGCAGAUCUCUGGGCCAUUACUGACGCUGAGAAGCGAAAGCAUGGGGAGCGAACAGG
This 253-nucleotide ribosomal RNA is filed under the name uncultured bacterium. RNAcentral describes it as "partial 16S ribosomal RNA". It matches the Rfam family "Bacterial small subunit ribosomal RNA", at positions 524 to 776 of the family's 1533-position model. The record is from RNAcentral.